This 253-nucleotide ribosomal RNA is filed under the name uncultured bacterium. RNAcentral's name for it is "partial 16S ribosomal RNA". It matches the Rfam family "Bacterial small subunit ribosomal RNA", at positions 524 to 776 of the family's 1533-position model. The record is from RNAcentral.
UACGGGGGGGGCAAGCGUUGUUCGGAAUUACUGGGCGUAAAGGGCUCGUAGGCGGCCAACUAAGUCGGAUGUGAAAUCCCCAGGCUUAACCUGGGAACUGCAUCCGAUACUGGAUGGCUUGAAUCCGGGAGAGGGAUGCAGAAUUCCAGGUGUAGCGGUGAAAUGCGUAGAUAUCGGGAGGAACACCAGUGGCGAAGGCGACUUCCUGGCCUGUUCUUGACGCUGAGGCGCGAAAGCUAGGGGAGCAAACGGG